Molecule: ribosomal RNA, 492 nt
Filed under: uncultured bacterium
Lineage: Bacteria
Description: partial 16S ribosomal RNA
Rfam family: Bacterial small subunit ribosomal RNA
Source: RNAcentral
AGUGAACGCUGGCGGUAUGCCUAACACAUGCAAGUCGAACGGCAGCACAGUAAGAGUUUGCCUUUACGGGUGGCGGGUGGCGGACGGGUGAGGAAUACAUCGGAAUCUUCUUUUUCGUGGGGGAUAACGUAGGGCAACAUAUGCUAACACCUCAUACGUCCUACGGGUUAAUGCAGUAGUUAAUCGCACCUUUGCUGUCUGAAUUAGACGAUGUCGGAUUAGCUAGUUGGCGGGGUAAAGGCCCACCAAGGCGACGAUACGUAGCUGAUCUGAGAGGAUGAUCGGCCACACUGGAACUGAGACACGGUCCAGACUCCUACGGGAGGCAGCAGUAGGGAAUCUUGGACAAUGGGCGCAAGCCUGAUGCAGCAAUGCCGCGUGAGUGAUGAAGGCCUUCGGAUUGUAAAGCCCUUUUAUUAGGAAAGAAAAGAUGUGUAAGAAACCACGGCCGUUCUGACGGUACCUAAAGAAAAAGCACCGGCUAACUACGUG